UCAAUUAUUUAUAGCCUCUGGCUAUAGGAAAUUGUUAGUGGCAGACGGGUGAGUAAUGCGUAGGAAUCUACCUAGUAGUACGGAAUAGCCAUUAGAAAUGGUGGGUAAUACUGUAUAAUCCCCGAGGGGGAAAGAUUUAUCGCUAUUAGAUGAGCCUACGUUAGAUUAGCUAGUUGGUGAGGUAAUGGCUUACCAAGGCUAUGAUCUAUAGCUGGUCUGAGAGGACGAUCAGCCACACUGGAACUGAGAUACGGUCCAGACUCCUACGGGAGGCAGCAGUGGGGAAUAUUGGACAAUGGGCGAAAGCCUGAUCCAGCUAUGCCGCGUGAGUGAAGAAGGCCUUCGGGUUGUAAAACUCUUUCAAUAGGGAAGAUAAUGACGGUACCUAUAGAAGAAGUCCCGGCAAA
Molecule: ribosomal RNA, 407 nt
Filed under: Ehrlichia canis
Lineage: Bacteria; Pseudomonadati; Pseudomonadota; Alphaproteobacteria; Rickettsiales; Anaplasmataceae
Description: bacterial SSU rRNA
Rfam family: Bacterial small subunit ribosomal RNA
Source: RNAcentral